AAAGCUCAGUAACACGUAGUCAACUUACCCUAUGGACGAGGAUAAUCUCGGGAAACUGAGCAUAAUACUCGAUAGAUCAUAAUGCCUGGAAUGGUUUAUGGUUAAAAUGAUUCGUCGCCAUAGGAUGGGACUGCGGCCUAUCAGCUUGUUGGUGAGGUAAUGGCCCACCAAGGCGAUUACAGGUACGGGCUCUGAGAGGAGAAGCCCGGAGAUGGGUACUGAGACAAGGACCCAGGCCCUAUGGGGCGCAGCAGGCGAGAAAACUUUGCAAUGUGCGAAAGCACGACAAGGUUAAUCCGAGUGAUUUCUGCUAAAGAAAUCUUUUGCAAGUCAUAAAACCACUAGUGAAUAAGGGGUGGGCAAGUUCUGGUGUCAGCCGCCGCGGUAAAACCAGCACCUCAAGUGGUCAGGAGGAUUAUUGGGCCUAAAGCAUCCGUAGCCGGCUCUGUAAGUUUUCGGUUAAAUCCAUGUGCUCAACGCAUGGGCUGCCGAAAAUACUGCAUAGCUAGGGAGUGGGAGAGGUAGACGGUACUCGGUAGGAAGGGGUAAAAUCCUUUGAUCUAUCGAUGACCACCUGUGGCGAAGGCGGUCUACCAGAACACGUUCGACGGUGAGGGAUGAAAGCUGGGGGAGCAAACCGGAUUAGAUACCCGGGUAGUCCCAGCUGUAAACGAUGCAGACUCGAUGAUGCAUUGGCAUAUAGCCAGUGCAGUGUCGCAGGGAAGCCGUUAAGUCUGCCGCCUGGGAAGUACGUACGCAAGUAUGAAACUUAAAGGAAUUGGCGGGGGAGCAC
RNAcentral lists this ribosomal RNA (793 nucleotides) under uncultured archaeon. RNAcentral's name for it is "bacterial SSU rRNA". It matches the Rfam family "Archaeal small subunit ribosomal RNA", at positions 85 to 879 of the family's 1478-position model. The record is from RNAcentral.